RNAcentral lists this ribosomal RNA (421 nucleotides) under uncultured bacterium. RNAcentral describes it as "bacterial SSU rRNA". It matches the Rfam family "Bacterial small subunit ribosomal RNA", at positions 355 to 774 of the family's 1533-position model. The record is from RNAcentral.
UGGGGAAUAUUGGUCAAUGGACGCAAGUCUGAACCAGCCAUGCCGCGUGAAGGAUGAAGGUCCUCUGGAUUGUAAACUUCUUUUAUCUGGGACGAAAACGGGAUUUUUAUCUCAAUUGACGGUACCAGAGGAAUAAGCACCGGCUAACUCCGUGCCAGCAGCCGCGGUAAUACGGAGGGUGCGAGCGUUAUCCGGAUUUACUGGGUUUAAAGGGUGCGUAGGUGGGCUUAUAAGUCAGUGGUGAAAUCUCCGAGCUUAACUUGGAAACUGCCGUUGAUACUAUAGGUCUUGAAUUAUCUGGAGGUAAGCGGAAUAUGUCAUGUAGCGGUGAAAUGCUUAGAUAUGACAUAGAACACCAAUUGCGAAGGCAGCUUACUACAUAUAAAUUGACGCUGAGGCACGAAAGCGUGGGGAUCAAACA